CCUACGGGUGGCAGCAGUGGGGAAUAUUGCACAAUGGGGGAAACCCUGAUGCAGCGACGCCGCGUGAGGGAAGAAGGAUUUCGGUAUGUAAAGCUCUAUCAGCAGGGAAGAAAAGGACGUUACCUGAUUAAGAAGCCCUGGCUAACUACGUGACAGCAGCCGCGGUAAGACGUAGGGGGAGAGCGUUAUACGGACUUACUGGUUGUAAAGGGAGCGUAGACGGCAGGACAAGUCUGGAGUGAAAUGCCGGGGCUGAACCCAGGAACUGCUUUGGAAACUGUGCAGCUAGAGUGCAGGAGAGGUCAGUGGAAUUCCAGGUGUAGCAGUGAAAUGCGUAGAUAUUAGGAGGAACACCAGUGGCGAAGGCGGCUAACUGGACUGUAACUGACGUUGAGGAUCGAAAGCGUGGGGAGCAAACAGGAUUAGAUACCCGUGUAGUC
Molecule: ribosomal RNA, 440 nt
Filed under: uncultured bacterium
Lineage: Bacteria
Description: partial 16S ribosomal RNA
Rfam family: Bacterial small subunit ribosomal RNA
Source: RNAcentral